CCACCGCGCCCGGCAUUUUGUUCACUGACGUGCAUUUUGUUCACUGCUGUGCCCAUUUUCUCACAGUGCCUAGCCCAAAUAUUUCAUGACUGUUUACUAAAGGUGUAUUUCUGAUUCUAUGUAAGUGAACAGAGAUGUGAUGAGAGGAUAAAGGGGAAAUGCACCCCCUCAAAAAGCUUAUUACUUCACAAGGUAUCCCAUGUUGAGAUAAACGCAGAGUAAACCUCAUGCCUAAAUAUGUCCUGUUUCCUCAAAGAGGCCUGCCUAGUACCAGGGUGCCUUGUGAAAGGUUCAGAUAAGCAAUUUAAUGCAAAUCAUAAAAUGCAAACCCACUUCUUUCUGGGAUGGUAAUGUUGUAGCACCCUAAAAGAGAGAGCGUUUGAAUUAUUUUGGAGAAUAUUCUGCUUCAAGGACCUAGAGUCAUAACUCACACAAAAAAGUCAAGAUUUAAAUAUAAAACAGGGGCUCAAGAGUGAGCCAUGUUGAGAUUGUAUAUCAGUUUUCUCUUGCCCUGAUUUGAAAAUCUUUCACUGUUUAAAUCUGUUGAUUUCUAAAUUGUAACUAUAAUGCCGGGACAGGAGAUGGGACCCCUAGUUUUUAUUUAGCACUUGACUGAAAUGUAACAUGACUUCAAGAUUCUUUUAUAUUAAAAAAAAAGUCAGCUAUUGUUCAUCUCCAGUGAAAUGAAUAAAACUUAGAUGACAGGGACUUAAAGGUAGACAAAAAGAUGUAGGACAGAGCCAAGGAAUUUAAACAAUUUUCAGAGUUCAGGGAAAAUGAUAAAAUCUCUUAAUCUAGAGAUAUUUAAGAAGAAGGCAGGGAUCUUUUCUCUAAAAUUGGGGGAGCAAAGGGUACUUCUUCGUGAACAACGGUAUCCAUCUAGUCUUUUUUGUACUACAAUAAGAAUAGCAAGACCGUGCUUCAGGAAAGCUGUCCAGUGUAAACAGGCCCCGCCUUGGAGUUCAUUGAGGACAGGUCUCUUUCUACAGAGGAGACCCAAGUGAAACUCUCUUGCUCUGGUGUUCUAGAAACUCAGUGGUGAAGGCUGAUCUGUGAUUCUUCCCCAGAUUCCUCGAAUUCAUGGGGGUUAAGGCCUAAGAUUUAACAUGCUCUUAACCUUGUUAACAAAGGUGCCUUCGUAUUGAGGAGACAUUAAAACUUAGCCACAUAAAUAUAUCUUGUCUCCUCCAGUGUUAAAAAAACAAAAAACAAAACUACUAUAAGCUGGGUGGAAUCAUGGUAAACAAAGCAUUUUCCAUUGCUUCAAGCACAGCAAAUAGAAUCUCUACCGAUAGUGCUUCUCCUUAGUUUCACCAGGGACAUUAGAUUCAUAGUGGUUCAUUUCAAAACCAUGCUUCCUCUUUCAGAGACUGUUUUGUCACCUGCAGGCUGAAGCGUUCUCCUUAGCUGAAGAUGCAAGCUUGCCCUACAGAAUGUUUGAACCUUCUGGUGGGUGCCUGGAGUUACGAAGAGAGGAGCUGCCAUUUUCUUUGCCCCGAGGAGCUGGCUCGGUGACCUCCUUCAGUCAUGGAAAGUCCCUUCCCCAGAUAGAGUCCAGCAUUCCACUGGCUUCUCCUGCUGCUAAAAUAAAACCGGGCGAAUCCCUCAGUAAACCGUGGAGCAUAAAGAGGUGGGGCUGCUUCUCCAGCAUUUGUCAGGGGUGUGAAGAGGUCAUUUUUUAUGUGCACAGCUUUGCUUCUCUGGCUGCUACACCUCUGUCCUGCUCCAGCUGAACUGCUCUUAUUACUUCUGUGCUUACUUUGCCAAGAGCCUCUUCACAGUGACUGCUUUUCUCCGGUUACGCUCCUGUUGAACCCGGCUUUCUCAGUCACUCUUCCUUUCCCUUUUAAAGAGUGAAGUCCAUGAACCCAGGCAAGAGUUAGCAUAGACACUGUCCUACAGAAAUGGCUCGUUAAGCUCUUUAAGCUCUCUGUGCUCCCCUCUGCCCCAGCCCUUGUGUAAAUCCUACAGAUGCAGCUGAAUGACUUUAUGUCCUCCAACCGUGAGACUGGCGCUGUGGAAAGAAUUAGCAACAUGUACAUUUAGAACUGAUAUUUGUAAAAACAAGCUUGGUCUGGAUUUUCGGUACUGUUGCAGGAACAAAACUGACCACAGUGUGUGCGUUUGUAGCACAAGACAGACGUGAUCAGAAAACAGUGAAGGCUUCAGCAGCACAGUCCACCCUUUCCUCCAGGGCCCUUUCCCCAUUUCCGCUCACAUCUUCCCAAACAAGCUACCAAACAGGUUAUGCAUCUGAAAAUUUAUUCGCUUCAGCCACAGGGCGACUUGAAUGGACUUUGUUGUUCACAUUUCCUCCCUUGGUCUUCUGUGGAUUAGAAACCAUAGUGCG
This 2350-nucleotide long non-coding RNA is filed under the name Homo sapiens (human). Its description in RNAcentral is "HSALNT0058899". Lineage: Eukaryota; Metazoa; Chordata; Mammalia; Primates; Hominidae. The record is from RNAcentral.